GCCUGAGUAGCUCAGUGGUUUUAGUGCGGGGUCAAUAACCCCUAGUCGGGGGUUCAAUUCUCACCUAAUGCA
This is a non-coding RNA of Ciona savignyi (Pacific transparent sea squirt), 72 nucleotides long. NCBI's taxonomy places the organism in Eukaryota, Metazoa, Chordata, Ascidiacea, Phlebobranchia, Cionidae. The record is from Rfam.